GUGGGCCUUUAGCCCACUACGAAUGAAAUCAGAUUGGGGAGGGGGUUCCUUUGGUGUUUUCAUUUGUUGAGGGUUAGAUAAUGUUGAUAGAAGAGAGACUAGGUGAGAAGAAGAGAAAAAGGAGAAGACGAAGAAAAAAACAACGCCGGAGGCGAAGGCGGAUGGCGGCGACGCUGAAGGACACCGAAAGACAUGGCGGUUUCGACGGCGGUUUCGACGGCGGUUAACAAAGCGACGACGGUGGAGCGAAGUGACAAGCACAGCGGCGGGUUCCUAGCUCAAGCAUGGUAGUCGUCUCCUUCCUCUUUCUUCUCCGACGAGCGGCAGUGACAAUAGCGGCAAAAAUAAACAACUAACUGUUUCGGUGCUUGAGACUAGAGGUGUCAAAAUGGGCGAACCCGCGCGGGCCGGCCGGCCACAACCUGAAAUUUUGUAGGGCUUUUGUAUUAAAUUUGGCACUUUUUAGUGAAUCCGUGCUAUAUUAAAACCGGGCUCGGACCGGGCUUACCCGGGCGGGUUCGGGCUACCCGUUUUCUCUUAUUUAAAUUUUUUUUUAGACUUUUUGGCUAGGUAAUAAGAUGAAAAUUAUUUUACAAUAAAAAAUAGAUAAUAUAUACUAAAUAUUGUGUAAUUAACUUUGAAUAAAAAAUAGAGUAAUGUCUAUAACAUAUAUAUUUAUAAAUUACAAUAAUGUUAUCAAGUUAAUAAUUAUAUUAUCUUUCCUAUUUUGCUUAAUAUCAUUUUUAACACAUUAGCAAAAUAGUGUAUCAAAUUAACUGAGAACAUUAAAUCAUAUUGAUUCUAUUUUUCUUUUUUUUAAUUGGAUAUUUAAUUAGAUUUAAAUUCUACGACAAAAAUAUAAUAAAGAAAAUAAUUUUUACAACGAAACUGAAAAACAACUUAAUUGUUUACCGUAGAGAACUCAACACAACCAAAUUUAACAUAACAGUUUAUAAUGAAAAUGUUGAU
Molecule: non-coding RNA, 969 nt
Organism: Lupinus albus (white lupine)
Lineage: Eukaryota; Viridiplantae; Streptophyta; Magnoliopsida; Fabales; Fabaceae
Source: the annotation of a GenBank genome assembly